GUAAAAGUCGUAACAAGGUUUCCGUAGGUGAACCUGCGGAAGGAUCAUUAUCGAGUUUUGACUGGGUUGUAGCUGGCCUUCCGAGGCAUGUGCACGCCCUGCUCAUCCACUCUACACCUGUGCACUUACUGUGGGCUUCAGAUCGUAAAACGGGUCCCUUUACCGGGCUUGCGGAGCGUGUCUGUGCCUGCGUUUAUCACAAACUCUAUAAAGUAUCAGAAUGUGUAUUGCGAUGUAACGCAUCUAUAUACAACUUUCAGCAACGGAUCUCUUGGCUCUCGCAUCGAUGAAGAACGCAGCGAAAUGCGAUAAGUAAUGUGAAUUGCAGAAUUCAGUGAAUCAUCGAAUCUUUGAACGCACCUUGCGCUCCUUGGUAUUCCGAGGAGCAUGCCUGUUUGAGUGUCAUGAAAUCUUCAACCUGCAAGCUUUUGUGGUUUGUAGGCUUGGACUUGGAGGCUUGUCGGCCGUUCUUGGUUGGCUCCUCUUAAAUGCAUUAGCUUGGUUCCUUGCGGAUCGGCUCUCAGUGUGAUAACGUCUACGCUGCGACCGUGAAGCGUUUGGCGAGCUUCUAACCGUCUCAGUUGGAGACAACUUUAUGACCUCUGACCUCAAAUCAGGUAGGACUACCCGCUGAACUUAAGCAU
This 644-nucleotide ribosomal RNA is filed under the name Ganoderma sp. 2 YD-2015. RNAcentral describes it as "eukaryotic LSU rRNA". The stretch from base 252 to 405 matches the Rfam family "5.8S ribosomal RNA". Lineage: Eukaryota; Fungi; Basidiomycota; Agaricomycetes; Polyporales; Polyporaceae. The record is from RNAcentral.